Molecule: ribosomal RNA, 1274 nt
Filed under: Bacillus pumilus
Lineage: Bacteria; Bacillati; Bacillota; Bacilli; Caryophanales; Bacillaceae
Description: bacterial SSU rRNA
Rfam family: Bacterial small subunit ribosomal RNA
Source: RNAcentral
GUUAGCGGCGGACGGGUGAGUAACACGUGGGUAACCUGCCUGUAAGACUGGGAUAACUCCGGGAAACCGGAGCUAAUACCGGAUAGUUCCUUGAACCGCAUGGUUCAAGGAUGAAAGACGGUUUCGGCUGUCACUUACAGAUGGACCCGCGGCGCAUUAGCUAGUUGGUGGGGUAAUGGCUCACCAAGGCGACGAUGCGUAGCCGACCUGAGAGGGUGAUCGGCCACACUGGGACUGAGACACGGCCCAGACUCCUACGGGAGGCAGCAGUAGGGAAUCUUCCGCAAUGGACGAAAGUCUGACGGAGCAACGCCGCGUGAGUGAUGAAGGUUUUCGGAUCGUAAAGCUCUGUUGUUAGGGAAGAACAAGUGCGAGAGUAACUGCUCGCACCUUGACGGUACCUAACCAGAAAGCCACGGCUAACUACGUGCCAGCAGCCGCGGUAAUACGUAGGUGGCAAGCGUUGUCCGGAAUUAUUGGGCGUAAAGGGCUCGCAGGCGGUUUCUUAAGUCUGAUGUGAAAGCCCCCGGCUCAACCGGGGAGGGUCAUUGGAAACUGGGAAACUUGAGUGCAGAAGAGGAGAGUGGAAUUCCACGUGUAGCGGUGAAAUGCGUAGAGAUGUGGAGGAACACCAGUGGCGAAGGCGACUCUCUGGUCUGUAACUGACGCUGAGGAGCGAAAGCGUGGGGAGCGAACAGGAUUAGAUACCCUGGUAGUCCACGCCGUAAACGAUGAGUGCUAAGUGUUAGGGGGUUUCCGCCCCUUAGUGCUGCAGCUAACGCAUUAAGCACUCCGCCUGGGGAGUACGGUCGCAAGACUGAAACUCAAAGGAAUUGACGGGGGCCCGCACAAGCGGUGGAGCAUGUGGUUUAAUUCGAAGCAACGCGAAGAACCUUACCAGGUCUUGACAUCCUCUGACAACCCUAGAGAUAGGGCUUUCCCUUCGGGGACAGAGUGACAGGUGGUGCAUGGUUGUCGUCAGCUCGUGUCGUGAGAUGUUGGGUUAAGUCCCGCAACGAGCGCAACCCUUGAUCUUAGUUGCCAGCAUUUAGUUGGGCACUCUAAGGUGACUGCCGGUGACAAACCGGAGGAAGGUGGGGAUGACGUCAAAUCAUCAUGCCCCUUAUGACCUGGGCUACACACGUGCUACAAUGGACAGAACAAAGGGCUGCGAGACCGCAAGGUUUAGCCAAUCCCAUAAAUCUGUUCUCAGUUCGGAUCGCAGUCUGCAACUCGACUGCGUGAAGCUGGAAUCGCUAGUAAUCGCGGAUCAG